RNAcentral lists this ribosomal RNA (218 nucleotides) under uncultured bacterium. RNAcentral describes it as "partial 16S ribosomal RNA". It matches the Rfam family "Bacterial small subunit ribosomal RNA", at positions 30 to 244 of the family's 1533-position model. The record is from RNAcentral.
AUUGAACGCUGGCGGCAGGCUUAACACAUGCAAGUCGAACGGUAACAUGGGUGCUUGCACCUGAUGACGAGUGGCGGACGGGUGAGUAAUGUAUGGGGAUCUGCCGAAUGGAAUGGGACAACAGUUGGAAACGACUGCUAAUACCGUAUAAUGUCGCGAGACCAAAGUGUGGGACUUUCGGGCCACAUGCCAUUUCGAUGAACCCGAUAUGGGAUUAG